Long non-coding RNA from Belonocnema kinseyi, 676 nucleotides. RefSeq lists it as uncharacterized. NCBI's taxonomy places the organism in Eukaryota, Metazoa, Arthropoda, Insecta, Hymenoptera, Cynipidae. The record is from RefSeq and is a predicted model, not a curated record. The transcript is spliced from 3 exons.
AACUGUCAAAAUUUCUUAUUAUUUUCCGAAUAAUAUAUUAAUCCCGGCAAAAGUUAGCUGUACAAGCGGAGGCCUAAAAUGUACCAAAUCUGUAUUAAGUUAUUAAAUAAAUAAAUUACUCAGAAUGCGUAGGAUUGAACAGAAUGAAGAGUAUUUCAGUAAAACCUGCAGGAUUUCACAAGAGUUGAGUUUAUAUUGGUACAAUACCCUGGAAUUUCGUCAAAGAAGAACAUCAGGCGAGCACGUGCUAACGAAACAACCUAUUUGGUAUAUCUCCAGGCUGAUGAUUUAGGUGUAGAUUUGGAGAGGCUAAACUUGAAAAGCGGACCGGGUGCAUUUUCACCUGCUGUCCUUUUUCCGGGCGUGUGCCAUUAUUUCGUGAAAUGAGAUCGGUUGAGGUACGUGUCUACCUGGCCCUGCAUCCAAGAUCGUUGAACUCGAAAUGGUGCUGACAAGACAUGGCUGUACUGCACUCCCACCUUCGAAGUACGAGUACGAAAAGCCUCUCUUCCUCCACCCUCACCAGACUCCCAGGUUUAUCGACUUCCACUCCAUAGAAGAAGAGUCCCCUCUACGACCUCUACGUUCAUCGACGCCUUCUCCUCACUCUGCGGAUCGUGUGGCGUCUGCGGCAUCUCCAAAGAAAAAAAAUUAAUGUAAAAUUAUAAAGUAAGCA